RNAcentral lists this long non-coding RNA (480 nucleotides) under Gallus gallus (chicken). RNAcentral's name for it is "lncRNA (ENSGALG00010029077.1)". Lineage: Eukaryota; Metazoa; Chordata; Aves; Galliformes; Phasianidae. The record is from RNAcentral.
GGGCUCAGGGCUGUCACUGGGGUUGCUUUCACAGGACGCCCCCCAGCCCAGCUCAGGACCCACGGAACAGCACAAGGCAACAGAGACGUUGACAGCAGCGAUGGUGAUGGAGAUGUUGAGAGUGGAGGAGCUCUUGGCUCGCUGCAGCCACCCCAGCAUUCCCGGAGCUCCCUGCUGGCCCCGGAGGAGUCCGAGUGCUCUGUGCUGGAAGAAGAGGAGUCGAGGCUGCUGGAGACAUCAGGGCUCAGUGGCUCUGUGGCAGUGAUGCGCUGCAUCAGCUCUUGCGUUUGGCAGCUGUUUGCAGUGGCUUUGGUCCCCUCUCUUGUGACACCGGGCAGGUCCUGCUUGUGCUGGGGGACCUCCAGAGCCGCUUCUGAAAAAGCAAGAACAUCCCCCCGAACGAUGAUGGCAGCCUUCCCACAGCCACUCGGUGCAGGCAGCCACCUCUGGGGGUCACCUCUGCGGAGCACAGUCUCACCG